GUCAUACAAGCCAGCAUUUGACCCAAAAAAUUGUGUUGUAAGAUGCCAUUUUCUUUUCUUUGUGGGCCAAAUCUUGCUCUUAGAUAUUUGUCUGAUUGCCAUUGAUUUCAAUGGGUGGAUAUGUGCAAGAGUUAGGGGCAGAAUUUGGCCCUAGAUAAGAUUAUGAAGGAAAAUGGUGUAAAUAUGGAGUAAUUCCACCGAAGUCAAUUGAGUUACUUUGGAGUUACACUGGUGCAAAAAGUUCUCUCUGGCAAUUUAUUCCAAGAGCAGCAUUCCCUAGAGUUUGUGGCAUAAAUGGUUACUCCAAAAGGAAAAAACAAUUCCAGUACAUCAGCUCCGAGGCAAUGAAUAUUACUAAAGACCUUGAAUGGGAGAAGCAUUUGUCAAGUUUGUAUAUAAUAAACAAUAGCAAAAAAAAAAAA
Long non-coding RNA from Mauremys reevesii (Reeves's turtle), 422 nucleotides. RefSeq lists it as uncharacterized. The record is from RefSeq and is a predicted model, not a curated record. The transcript has 3 exons. NCBI's taxonomy places the organism in Eukaryota, Metazoa, Chordata, Testudines, Geoemydidae.